AUGAUCGGGGAAAAUGUAUUGAGGAGUGAAAUAUGGGAAUUGCCAUCAGAUCAGAACAAUAUACUACCAGCUCUGAGAUUGAGUUACAAUCAUUUGCCGCCCGUACUGAAGAGAUGUUUUGCAUUUUGCUCGGUCUUUUACAAAGAUUAUGUGUUUGAGAAAGACAGGUUGGUCCAGAUAUGGAUGGCCCUUGGGUUUAUUCAGCCACAGCAGAGGAGAAGAAUUGAAGAGAUUGGAAGUAGCUAUUUUGAUGAAUUACUAAGCAGGUCCUUCUUCCGAUAUCACAAAGGUGGAUAUGUGAUGCAUGAUGCUAUGCAUGAACUAGCACAGUCGGUCUCAAUUGAUGAAUGCCUCAGACUGGAUGACCUUCCAAACAGCAGCAACCCUGCAAGAAGUGCCAGACACCUAUCAUUCUCUUGUGAAAAUAGAAGUGAGACUUCAUUUGAAGCCUUUCUUGGAUUUAAGAGAGCACGGACACUUCUACUGCUAAGUGGAUAUAAAUCAACGACGAGGUUUAUCCCCGGUGAUUUGUUCCUCAAGUUAAGGUACCUCCAUGUGCUUGAUUUGAACCGACGGGACAUUACCAAGUUGCCAGAUUCUAUUGGAAGCUUAAAAAUGCUACGGUAUUUGAAUCUCUCGGGCACUGGUAUUGCAAUGUUGCCUUCAUCAAUUGGUAGGCUCUUCAGCUUGCAAAUACUUAAGUUGAAAAACUGCCAUGAAUUAGGUUGCCUCCCACAAAGCAUAACCAAUCUUGUAAAUCUUCGAUGGCUAGAAGCAAGAACAGAGUUGGUCACAGAGAUAUCCGGAAUAGGCAACUUAACUUGCCUUCAACAGUUGGAUGAAUUUGUGGUCCGUACGGACAAGGGAUACAAGAUCAAUGGAUUGAAGACAAUGAAGGGGAUCCGAGGUCAUAUUUGUAUUAAGAAUAUCGAGAGUGUGGCUAGUGCAGAGGAGGCAAGUCAAGCUUUUCUCAGCGAGAAGACAUUCAUCAACAUCCUAGACCUUGUAUGGUCCGAUAACAGGAACUUACCAUCAGAAGAAGUAAAUUCAGACAAAAAGAUACUUGAAGUCCUUCAGCCAAAUCAUGAACUGAAGGAGCUAACUAUCAAGGCAUCCGCAGGCUCCUCCUUUCCAAAUUGGUUAAGUAGUCUUUCCCACUUGCAAACCAUCCACUUGUCUGAUUGCACGAAAUGCUCGAUUCUACCAGCGCUGGGAGAGCUGCCUCAACUCAAGUAUUUAGAUAUUGGUGGGUUUCCGGCCAUUAUUCAAAUCAACCAUGAAUUUUCAGGUACCAAUGAAAUUAAGGGGUUUCCAGCACUGAAAGAGCUCUUAUUUGAAGACAUGACUAGUCUUGAAAAGUGGGCCUCUGUAACUGAUGGUGAAUUUCUUCCGUCCCUCACAGAACUUGCAGUUAUGGACUGCCCCCAAGUAACAGAAUUCCCACUCCUCCCAUCAACAUUAGUGAAGUUCAAAAUUUCUGAAACAGGGUUCGCUAUUCAUCCAGAAGUCCAUAUUCCAAAUUCUUGGUUUCCAUCGUCGUUAGAAUGCUUAGAGAUUCAUCAGUGUCCAAAUCUCAAAUCCUUAAAGGAAGGACUGCUUAACCAGCAAUUAUUGGCUCUCCAGCAGUUAACUAUCACUCACUGUUUAGACCUAAAGGAAAUGCCAGUUGAAGGAUUCAGAUCCCUAAUUGCUCUUAGGAGUCUUCACAUUUAUGAUUGUCCAAGGCUGGCACCAUCAGGACAUCAUAGCUUGCUGCCCUCCAAUCUUGAAGACUUGCGCAUCAGCUCUUGUUCCGAUCUUAUUAACCCUCUUCUUCGGGAGCUUAAUGAGCUCUCUUCGCUGACACAUCUCGCGAUCACCAAUUGUGCUAGCCUUCAUUCUUUUCCAGUAAAGCUCCCUGUCACUCUGCAAAAACUGGAGAUCCUCAAUUGCAGUAAUCUGAUCUACUUGCCUGGUGGUCUCGAAGAUGCACCGUGUCUAUCAGCUAUAACCAUCUUGAAAUGUCCUCUCAUACCAUGCUUACCAAGGCGCCUUACAAAAUCGUUGAAAGAACUGUAUAUCAAAGGAUGCCCAUAUCUAACAGAGAGCUGCCAAGAAAACAGUGGAAGAGAUUGGCAUAGAAUUGCUUAUGUACCAAUCAUGGAGAUCGAUGAUGAU
This 2157-nucleotide ribosomal RNA is filed under the name Triticum aestivum (bread wheat). RNAcentral's name for it is "partial small subunit ribosomal RNA". Lineage: Eukaryota; Viridiplantae; Streptophyta; Magnoliopsida; Poales; Poaceae. The record is from RNAcentral.